CUAGUUUCGAUGGAGGCGCUGGUGGGAUACUACCCCUGCGUUAUGGCCACUCUAACCCGCACCACUGAUCGUGGUGGGAGACAGUGUCAGAUGGGCAGUUUGACUGGGGCGGUCGCCUCCUAAAAGGUAACGGAGGCGCCCAAAGGUUCCCUCAGAAUGGUUGGAAAUCAUUCGAAGAGUGUAAAGGCAGAAGGGAGCUUGACUGCGAGACCAACAAGUCGAGCAGGGACGAAAGUCGGGCUUAGUGAUCCGGUGGUUCCGCAUGGAAGGGCCAUCGCUCAACGGAUAAAAGCUACCCUGGGGAUAA
Molecule: ribosomal RNA, 307 nt
Filed under: Enterococcus durans
Lineage: Bacteria; Bacillati; Bacillota; Bacilli; Lactobacillales; Enterococcaceae
Description: partial 23S ribosomal RNA
Rfam family: Bacterial large subunit ribosomal RNA
Source: RNAcentral